UACGGGGGGGGCUAGCGUUGUUCGGAAUUACUGGGCGUAAAGGGCGCGUAGGCGGUCUGCUAAGUUGGAUGUGAAAACUCUGGGCUUAACCCAGAGCCUGCAUUCAAUACUGACAGGCUAGAGUUCUGGAGGGGAUAGCGGAAUUCCUGGUGUAGCGGUGAAAUGCGUAGAUAUCAGGAGGAACACCGGUGGCGAAGGCGGCUAUCUGGACAGUUCCUGACGCUGAGGCACGAAGGUCAGGGGAGCAAACGGG
Molecule: ribosomal RNA, 253 nt
Filed under: uncultured bacterium
Lineage: Bacteria
Description: partial 16S ribosomal RNA
Rfam family: Bacterial small subunit ribosomal RNA
Source: RNAcentral